Firmicutes bacterium CAG:65 is the source of this 168-nucleotide non-coding RNA. Lineage: Bacteria; Bacillati; Bacillota. The record is from Rfam.
AAAGCCGUAUAUGUCGGGUUGCCAUGCAGUGGUGAUGAAACUCGGUCUUACGCAAUGGAAAUCUACGAACCGUGUCAGGUUGGGAACAAAGCAGCACUAAGUAGAACCUUCCAUGUGCCGUAAGGAAACUGGGUGGAGCUGCUGUCAUGGUCCGGCGUAUGCGGUUUU